AUGGACACCGUGGGUGCCCGGCUGAGCCGCUCCUCCACGCGAUAUGGCCCCGUCGGCAGCAGCAACGCCUCCUUCAGCGGGCCCGUCAGGAAGUGGCGCAAGGCGUGGGUCCCUCUCGCCGGCGGCGGCGCGGGGUCCGCCUCCGCCGGGUGCCCCAGGGGUAACAAGGUGGUGCUGCUCAAGUGGGCGCCGGUGAGUGGCGCCGGCGACGGGCCGGUCGCCACGGCGGGUGGUGGCGGCGCCUCGGCGACGUCGAUUCCCCACGGCAGGAGGCCUUGCGAUCUGGUUUCGGGUGUGCCACAGAACCCUACCAGAAAAGGCGGCAGCACCGAGCUGAACUUGAACCUCGGUUUGGAGGACCCGGAUGAUGACAGCGACGCUGAUUUGAGCCCAGACGAACAGCGUGACAUGGGCAGCACCCCGCGUUCGGAGAACCGACUGAAGAGGAAAGUGUUUUAA
Molecule: ribosomal RNA, 459 nt
Filed under: Triticum aestivum (bread wheat)
Lineage: Eukaryota; Viridiplantae; Streptophyta; Magnoliopsida; Poales; Poaceae
Description: partial small subunit ribosomal RNA
Source: RNAcentral